Phascolarctos cinereus (koala) is the source of this 554-nucleotide non-coding RNA. The record is from RefSeq and is a predicted model, not a curated record. NCBI's taxonomy places the organism in Eukaryota, Metazoa, Chordata, Mammalia, Diprotodontia, Phascolarctidae.
CUCAUCAGAUUAUAACUAGAUUGUUGUGACUGAUUCUAAAGCAGCACAUUUUCUGAAAGAUAUUGACAGGUUUGAGUAUGUCCAAAAAUCAGAGACCAGGGUGAAAAGGAGCCUUUCAAUCCUGCUAUAUAAGGAUGGAUGUUUAACUAAGCAAAAUGAAGAUCCAGGUGAGAUACCACCUCUGUCUUCAUUGAUCUGAAGGACUAACCUGUGGAAAUGGGAAUGGGAUUAUUCCCAAAGAUCAGAAAAAUGACACACUUUUGGAAGUUAUGGUCUGGAUUAUCCAUCAACUGCACAAAAUUGAGUAAUCGCCACAAUAGCUGUGGGGAAGCUGGCUUUCUUCCCCUCUAGCAAGUGGAGCCACCAGCCUGGUUCUGAGGUCCCUGGAUCAGAAUCAAAGCAUUUCAUCUUGCGUCUACCUUUAGAAGCUGUCAGACUGGCAGGAACAUUUGUCAUCCUAUUGAAGGAAGGAAACACCUUCAACCCCCAUGGGUAUUGUCAAAGACACAAUCAGACCAUGCGGAAGAGAGGAGUAAGAAUGAAAAGAUGAAAAG